This is a long non-coding RNA of Globicephala melas (long-finned pilot whale), 2302 nucleotides long. RefSeq lists it as uncharacterized. The record is from RefSeq and is a predicted model, not a curated record. NCBI's taxonomy places the organism in Eukaryota, Metazoa, Chordata, Mammalia, Artiodactyla, Delphinidae.
CAAGCCCGGACCCACAAUUUCCAGGACGAAAGCAGGCCGCGUCCCGGGGAGCCCAGCGCGCCAGCUGGUGAAGAGGCAGGAGCCCCCGGGACUUGGCUGCCCUCUCCAAAGGCAGCUCCUAACGCGGCCGCCGCGGCCACGCUGACCUCUGAUCCGAAGCUGGCUGGGAAGGGCCCGCGGGGAAGGAGCAGCAGAGGCGCGCGAGGUAAGUACUCACCGGAAGAAGUCGUUUUUGCAGUAGAGCUUGCCUUCCCGGGAGAAGCACUUCUCGGUCAGGUUGCAUUUACAUUCACAGCACUGGACGCACUUGACAUGCCAGGCCCUGUCCAGCACGUUCAAGAGGAAGCGGUCCAGGAUGGGCCUUUUGCAGCCGGCACAGUGCACCAUGGUCUUUGGUUUGGUCGGGUGAGGCCCGGAGAGAGAAGCGCAGGUAGAGCCGAGGGGAUGAUUCACCAAGACGACCGGCAGGAACUCCCCAGCCCCUCCAAAAUGGGGAGAGACACUUGGCAGUGCAAACCGAAACCCGCGCCGGAAAAUCAGAGAGAGGGAGGAGGCUGAUGGGGGUCGGGGGGCGCCUCGGUGGAGUGUGCAGCCCGACAGUCCCGGGGCCCCGGGGCACAGCAGCGCCGCCGCCGCUCCUGGGGCGAGGAAAGAGUCUCAGGCGGGCGAGAAAGCGACUCUUCUGCCCAGAGCCCGCGAAGGAGUGAAGGUCACCGAGAACGGCGACGGGAACGGAAAUAAAUAAAUAAAACGGAGUCGGAGAAGGAAGAGGACGACACGGCGAGCUCGGCUUGCAGGGAAAGCGCCGCUGAGUUCUCUCGGGCUUGAGGUUUCCCCCCUUCUGGAGAAGUGUUUGUGUCAAUCGAGAGUGAGAGGGACAACUCCGGGCGGACGCAGCCAGGUGCGCGCGCCCGCUCCCCACCGCCCCAGCCCCGUCACCUCGGCCCGUGGCCUGCCUGGCGGCCUCCGUCUCCUCGGGACGGCCCUCCCUGCGCCUGGACUCCUUCGGGGAGGGGGUGCCGUCUGGCUCCUCACCGCGCCUGGCCGUGCAUCGUGGCUCCAGUAGCAACUCGCGGCCGCCUGGGCGCGCAGCCCCACAUCGCUCGGCCCACGCUCCAGCUGCCUGCGUGCAACCCCACAGUCUCUCGACUUUUCUUUUCCUUUUCCCCUCUUUUUUCGUUGUGAUGGCAAAUCUGGGUUUCCUUUCUAGCCUCUUUCCUUCCUUCCUUUUUUGUUUUUUUUUUCUUUUCUUUUGCAGCGGGAGGAGUCGGGGGGAGGGGAGUAGCUUGAAGAGCUUUUUAAAAAACGUCCUGGUGCAGCGGCUACAGUUCUGUGCGGCUGGAACAGCUCGGCACGGGCCGCCGCUCUCGCCUUCCGGGCCGCAAUUCGUUGUAGGCUGUCCCCGGACAAGCGUCCCUCUGUCCCUGGUCUCCUGGCCCAGUCCGCCGCCCCGGCGCGUCUCUCCCCAGUUCCGGCGGCUCGGUCACUGCUCCUGGCUGUUGGCUGGGCUCUGGAAGCCCCCUCGCCUUAAUGCAGCGCCCGCCGACGUCACGGCGGCCUGCGACCAAUCAGCGGCUCGCGGUCCCUCUGUAAACCAUUCUGCAUCCCCCGGCUGGGGAGAGUGCCGGGAGACCGCGUUUAGAGGAUCAGUGGCGGCGGCAACCGCGGCCCGGCGCUGUGCGGGCGGCGGGCAGCGAGGUGCCCGGGUCCCCUGCUGCUCCGGAGCCAGCCCACAGCAUCAGGCUCUGGAGACUUCAGCGUGUGAAGAUGAUACAGUACUCUUUGGUGCUGGCACUGAAGCAGAUAAGGCAGUUGAAGCUCAGAGAGGGGCGCUGGGUUGCCCAAGGUCACACAGCAAUUUGGUGAGUUUCCUGGGCACCUACGACUCCUGGUUUGCAGGCAACAUUCUUGUCCUUGAAAACGGAGGAUUCACCCCGCUCUGUCCCCAGCUUCUUCAGCGUCUUCACCCAGCCUUCUUAGUGGCAGCCUCCUCCCGCUAGAGCUCUCAGUCCGGGGCACGGCUUUGAAGGAAGAUUGCUAAGCCUGCUAAAUCCUAAUGCGCACCAACGUCGUCUCCCUAUUCAUCCGGAAACCUGAAUCUCAGGCCUCACUUCUCCAGGAGCCUUCCCAGGCCCCCGCCCUGUCCUCACUUUACUCCAGAAGGAGUUACCUUCGCUUUUGCACCAUGAGUGUGUCUCCACUGUUGAAUUUACACUCUGGCAACUUAUUGGCACUGUGUCUGUCCGCACGACUGCACUGUGAACUAUUCAUCUCUUCCUGGCGAUCUGGAUCUGCUCAAUAA